UGCCUCCUCCCUCCCUCUCUCUCGCGUUCCCGCCCCCUCGCCGCUCGGCUCCUGGCGUGACUCGGCACUGAGCGCCCCGGGAGCCGCUCCGCCACCGCCGCCGCCUCUGUCCAGGCCUCGGCCUUCCGAGCAUCCCCGCUUCCGCUCCCGGUCGUCUUCUCCUUCAGUUUCGCAGCGGGUGGCGUCGCGGCCUCCCUUCCGGGCCCCGAGAAUGGUGGGAGUGAAGCCGGUCGGGAGCGACCCGGAUUUCCAGCCGGAGCUGAGCGGCGCCGGCUCCAGACUCGCCGUGGUCAAGUUCACCAUGCGAGGGUGUGGACCAUGUUUAAGGAUUGCCCCAGCAUUCAGUACUAUGAGUAAUAAGUAUCCACAGGCAGUUUUCUUGGAAGUAGAUGUACACCAGUGUCAGGGAACAGCUGCCACCAACAACAUAUCAGCAACACCUACGUUUUUGUUUUUUCGAAACAAAGUGAGGAUUGAUCAAUAUCAAGGAGCAGAUGCUGUGGGACUAGAAGAAAAAAUCAAGCAGCACUUAGAAAAUGACCCUGGAAGUAAUGAGGACACAGAUAUUCCAAAAGGCUAUAUGGAUUUAAUGCCUUUUAUUAACAAAGCUGGCUGUGAAUGUCUUAAUGAAAGUGAUGAGCAUGGAUUUGACAACUGUUUACGAAAAGACAUGACCUUCUUGGAGUCUGAUUGUGAUGAACAGCUGCUUAUUACUGUGGCAUUUAAUCAACCUGUGAAGCUUUAUUCAAUGAAAUUUCAAGGGCCAGAUAAUGGUCAAGGUCCUAAAUACGUAAAAAUUUUUAUCAAUCUGCCCCGAUCUAUGGAUUUUGAAGAAGCAGAAAGAAGUGAACCAACUCAAGCUCUGGAACUAACAGAGGAUGAUAUUAAAGAAGAUGGCAUUGUUCCACUUCGCUAUGUUAAGUUUCAGAAUGUUAACAGUGUAACUAUAUUUGUUCAGUCCAAUCAAGGUGAAGAAGAAACAACAAGAAUUUCAUAUUUUACUUUCAUUGGUACUCCAGUCCAGGCAACAAAUAUGAAUGACUUCAAACGACUUUUUUAAUCCAACUCAAAUGAACUAAAACCAGAAGAUUUUUUAAAAAUGAAGUAAUACAAAGAUUGACCUUAUCUCACUCCACUCCCCUUCUUGCUUCUCUGCUCAUCUUGCACCUGUCUGCUCUCACCCUUCCCAUGUUCUCAUCAUUGUUGGUGCAGGAUGUCUACAGCUUCUGUCAUCUGGAUCAGCCUUACUGUUACCUAAAUUUCCUCAGCUAUCUCGUUCCUCAAUCUCAUUCUAGUCAUGUUUCCCCACUGGCUUUUCAUUUUGUUUUGGUUUUUGUUUUGGGCUUGCAACUAGGUGCUUUUAUUUUAUUACCAUAUUAUCUUGUUCCCCCGAAUUUUUGUUGUUGUUUUACAUUCUCCUGUCUCAUAUUUAAUUUUGUACUAUCUUUGCGAAAUAAUAUUGCAAUAAAAUAUACAUUGUUGUAGUUUCAAAUUUAACUAGUUGUUGGAUAAUGUUUUUAAUCCAAUCUGAAGUUUAAAUUUGAUUUUUUAGGAACUAUAAAAUCAUUUUGGAAACCAAAUAUAAACAGUUUCAUCAAGUUCUUUUAUACAAGUACUAGUGUAAUAUAUUGAUCAGGCUGUAGUUAAGAGAUGUGGUUUUCUUCUUUUUUAUCUCAUUGAAACUGUGGCACAGAAGUCAUUUUGCUUAUUAAUUGUGGGUGUAUCCUAUGCUUUGCCUGCCCAAGCAAACUCAAGGCCAGUCGAAAGACUUAUGAACUGAAUAUUAGGCUGGUUUAAAAUAUUAAUAUGGAAGAAAAGUGGACUCUUUACUGAAUAAAUACUAUGGAUACCUAAUUUUAAUGUACCUAGACUUUUGUUUCUGUGAGGUGUUAACAUAAAGACUUAAAAAGAAAUAAAAGAACUUUACGUUUGGGUAGUUGGCAAAAAAGGAGAAAGUCACUAAGAUACAAAAGACACGGGAAGACUACAUUGCAAUCAGACCUACAGCUCCUGGAUGACUGCUUGAUUCUCGCCAGACUGUCACUAUUCCAUUCAUUGCCAUUACCAAUAAAUCAUUGCUUUUGUUCCGAUGAUAUCACUAGUGUUUCUAUUGUAAUCUUGAUACAUGCAAUUGUAAAUAAAAGUCACUACUUUUGCCAAGCUUAAUUUUUGUCAUUCUAAAUAAGUAUUUUCACUUUCCACUUAUUUGAAAAUUGGCUGACUUUGGAUUUUAGAAGAGACUUAGGUGUCAGGUAGCAUAUUAAACUAAAGCCAGUUUCUCCUUUUAAAGGAGCACAACUGUUUGGGGGAAUUAAGAAAUACAUGUGCCCUCAUAUACAGACAUACACAGCAGGUGAUUUUGAUAAAUGCACUUGAAACAGCUAACCAUGUUCUAAUGAGUAAAAACUCAUGUUUAUUAAACUACAUUUGGGUACCUGGGCUAUAGAAAUUACUCAAAUUAUAAAAUACCAGAAAUACAACAAAUUUAAUGAAUUUAACUGUUCUCACCUAAAAUUUUUAGUUAAUGAAACCUCAUAUUUUAACCCUUCCUGGGUAAACUUUAAAAAUUUGACUUAGCCAUUUCCUUUGCUAAUAGAGGUAUAUUGUAAUUUGGCAGUAGAGAAAAUACAGAACUCAGAAUUCAUGAAGCAACGUGAAUUAUUAUCUUUUAGUGAAGUAUUAUUUUAACUACCAAAAGACACAGUGUAAAUAUUCAGAAGACUUGGUUUAAGGUUGAAAAUGAGUUGGCCAAAGGUAUAUGUUUAAAAGGUCUUUCACAAAAAGCUGGCAAAACAAAACAUCUGUUCCUUAUUAUUUAAACCUUAAAACUAUAAAGUAUUGGUAAAUAUAAUUUUUCAAUUUCUCUAUUUUUAAAAUUAAAAUGUAAUAUUUUAAUUUCUCUAAAUACUUAAAAAAUUCAGUGUUUGAAAAGAGUACCUAAGACUAAUAGUUUUUUUAAAUUUUUUUAUGUUUUUAGUGAUUUCAGAGAGAGGAAGGGAGAGGGAGAAAGAAAAACAUCGAUGAUGAGAGAGAUAUUGAUCAGUUGUCCCCCGCACCCCAUAUUGGGGAUUGAGCCUGCAAGGCAUGUGCCUUGACUGAGAACCGAACCAGCCACCUCUCAGUGCAUGGGCUGAUGCUCAACCACUGAGCCACACUAAUAGUUUUAAUUCAAUUAAUUAAAUAGUACAUUUAAAGACAUUUUUGUCUAGGAAUAUGGUAGAGGUACCAUUUUGUCUUUGUGAGACCAAUGUGUUUAUACAUGUUUCUGAAAAGAAGUAUGUAUCAGUUUUUGUGUUAAAAUAGUCACUUUUUGAAACCCCAGGGCCAUUAGAUACUGUUUAGUUCCUUCUAAUGUCAGCACAUUAACUGGUCUGUGGUAAUGUCUAUAUCUAUGUAUUUCAUUUUUAUGUUGCCUUGGGUCAAGUGGAGGCCGUAGGGCAAGAAAUAAAAGUUUAUAACACUCUUUAAUAUAGACUAUCUCAGAUUAAUCACAUUUGAAGUUAAGGAUUAGAUUAAUAUUGAAAUUUGUUCUACCCUUUGUACACUUCACCUUUUUGAAUUGUUAAAGUGCCUAUCUGAAGUAUUGCUGACCUCUAUUUAUACUUGCCAAUUUGAAAACUCAAUGAAAGUAAUUUCAUAUUUGUAAAGGAUUGGGCAUCAGAUUUAUAUUGUUUAUGUGACUUUUCUAUAACUCAAUUGGUUGCCUUAUACAACCAUUCCAUAAUUCAAGUUGUAAAUAGGGAAAAAUGAAUGUUUAUAGGCAACUGUAACAUGUUUCACUAUGGGAAGUUUUACAAAUAAACAUGCUUAGUUGACAUUAUUUAAAUUA
Molecule: RNA transcript, 3829 nt
Organism: Myotis daubentonii (Daubenton's bat)
Lineage: Eukaryota; Metazoa; Chordata; Mammalia; Chiroptera; Vespertilionidae
Gene: TXNL1
Gene name: thioredoxin like 1
Exons: 9
Source: RefSeq, a predicted model, not a curated record